GACGAACCGUGCAACGUUGUUCGGAAUCACUGGGCUUAAAGGGCGCGUAGGCGGUCGGUCAAGUCCGGGGUGAAAUCUUUCGGCUCAACCGGAAAGUGCCUUGGAUACUGAUCGGCUGGAGGGAGUAGGGGCAGUUGGAACUUCCAGUGGAGCGGUGAAAUGCGUUGAUAUUGGAAGGAACGCCGGUGGCGAAAGCGAGCUGCUGGGCCUCUUCUGACGCUGAGGCGCGAAAGCUAGGGGAGCAAACGGGAUUAGAAACCCUAGUAGU
RNAcentral lists this ribosomal RNA (268 nucleotides) under uncultured bacterium. RNAcentral's name for it is "partial 16S ribosomal RNA". It matches the Rfam family "Bacterial small subunit ribosomal RNA", at positions 524 to 794 of the family's 1533-position model. The record is from RNAcentral.